CCGACCUUAGCUCAGUUGGUAGAGCGGAGGACUGUAGUGCGUUGCAGAUUAAAUCCUUAGGUCGCUGGUUCGAAUCCGGCAGGUCGGA
Setaria italica (foxtail millet) is the source of this 88-nucleotide transfer RNA. It matches the Rfam family "tRNA". Rfam says of the family: Transfer RNA (tRNA) molecules are approximately 80 nucleotides in length. The record is from Rfam. NCBI's taxonomy places the organism in Eukaryota, Viridiplantae, Streptophyta, Magnoliopsida, Poales, Poaceae.